Long non-coding RNA from Manihot esculenta (cassava), 788 nucleotides. RefSeq lists it as uncharacterized. The transcript is spliced from 6 exons. The record is from RefSeq and is a predicted model, not a curated record. Lineage: Eukaryota; Viridiplantae; Streptophyta; Magnoliopsida; Malpighiales; Euphorbiaceae.
CGCAGUGGAAAAUGGAGGGUCUUCUGGGGGUUUGGGGUUGGGAUUUGGAUCCAUUUUGUUCUUCUAAGAGAAUGGCAUUGAUAUCUUUGAAAGAUGAGCAGGAGAAGUACCUAGGUGAAGGUGGCUCCGGCGGACGUGUGUGAGCCCUACUUGGUGAUCUCAGCCACUCUACUGUGUCCAAAAAAGUUAGGUUACCUGCAGUUUUCUUAGGAGGGAAGUAUGUUGGCGGGGCCAAGGAGAUCAAGGAGAUGAAUGAGAGUGUAAUGGCAGCCAUAAGAUCUACUCUGAGAAGCAUGGGUUUAGGACCUGCACAUCCGGUCUGAUUAAGUGCGGCCUAUGUUAUCCCGUGCAAUGUAAACGGUUUGAUUAAGUGCGGCAUAUGUUAUCCCGUGAAGCGGCGAGAACUUUAUUUUCUGCUGGUCGCUCAACGACGAAGGUUUAGCGUUAUUGAAGUUUAGAGAAAGAAUAGUGAGUGAUCCGUACGACGCGUUGAAGAAUUGGAAGGAUGAGGAUGGAGUUGUUAAUCCGUGUUAUUGGUUUGGAGUUGAGUGCUCUGAUGGCAAAGUUGUCGAAUUGAACUUGAAAGAUCUUUAUCUUGGAGGAACACUAGCACCUGACCUCAGAAACCUUGUUCGCAUAAAGUCUAUCAUUUUGCACAACAAUUCUUUUACUGGCAUCAUUCCUGAAGGGAUUGGAGAGUUGAAGGAGUUGGAGGGGCUAGAUUUUGGAAAUAAUAACUUCAGUGGGCCACUCCCUCCUGUCCUUGACAGUAGUCUCUCUUUGACAAU